RNAcentral lists this ribosomal RNA (253 nucleotides) under uncultured bacterium. RNAcentral's name for it is "partial 16S ribosomal RNA". It matches the Rfam family "Bacterial small subunit ribosomal RNA", at positions 524 to 776 of the family's 1533-position model. The record is from RNAcentral.
GGCGUAGGGGGCGAGCGUUGUCCGGAUUUAUUGGGCGUAAAGCGUGCGUAGGCGGCUGCGCAAGUCGGUUGUGAAACCCCGGGGCUCAACCCCGGAACUGCAUCCGAUACUGCGUGGCUAGAGGUAGGUAGGGGAGAUCGGAAUUCCUGGUGUAGCGGUGAAAUGCGCAGAUAUCAGGAGGAACACCGGUGGCGAAGGCGGUUCUCUGGGCAUGAUCUGACGCUGAGGAGCGAAAGUGUGGGGAGCGAACAGG